RNAcentral lists this ribosomal RNA (471 nucleotides) under uncultured bacterium. RNAcentral describes it as "SSU rRNA". It matches the Rfam family "Bacterial small subunit ribosomal RNA", at positions 26 to 518 of the family's 1533-position model. The record is from RNAcentral.
AGGACUAACGCUGGCGGCGUGCCUAACACAUGCAAGUCGAACGGACUGUAGCAAUACAGUUAGUGGCAGACGGGUGAGUAACGCGUAGAUAACGUGCCCCUCCGCUGGGGAUAGCCACUGGAAACGGUGGGUAAAACCGAAUAUUCUUGUCCGGGGACAUCCCUGGAGAAGGAAAACUUUCGAGUGCGGAGGGAGCGGUUUGCGUCCUAUUAGCUAGUUGGUAAGGUAAAAGCUUACCAAGGCGACGAUGGGUAGCCGGUCUGAGAGGAUGAUCGGCCACACUGGCACUGAGAUACGGGCCAGACUCUUACGGGAGGCAGCAGUGAGGGAUUUUGCGCAAUGGAGGAAACUCUGACGCAGCGACGCCGCGUGCGGGACGAAGCCUUUCGGGGUGUAAACCGCUGUCAGUGGAGAAGAGAAUGGACGGUACCCACUGAGGAAGCCUCGGCUAACGUACGCGCCAGCAGCCGC